AACAAGCCACCACUGGUGUAGGCAUACGGUUUAUACUGAUAGGUUUAGGCUUAACCGAGAGAGACCCCGUUGGUAAAGUUAGGAGGGCCACCGACGCGGGCGGGUAAAUUAAGCACUCUCUUAUCUUGUGGUCCUAUCUGAAAGGUUUACACAUAUUGUCAAGAAACCAUCAACAUAAAGCAGGACUAUAGCAUUAACCCCUUAAUUUUAACCCUAACUCUAAAAUUACCUUGUGCUGAUCCUACUAUACCUUAGCAUAAUAAUAACUAAAUUUAAGUUUAGACUUUAUAGAGAUAUGAAUUUAACCUGCUAUUUCCACAGUGUAAUCCCAGCUAAUAUUAAAAUGUAAAAUCUUUACCGUCUCCCUGAGUUUGCAGAUGUCUAUUAUGGCGCAAUAUAUAACAACUAAAGUUAAUGUUGUAAAUACACCUUUCAAAUUUAAUAUCACCAAAUAAGAUAAAGGCACGAUAUCUUAUAAUUAAGAUGCUGCUGCUUAUCCCCCCGGGGUAAAAUUACUUUAACUCAAAAGUGGAGGUAUGGUAUACCAAUAUAUGACCCUCUUUUCACGCCUUCCUUAAAGAGGAUAGCGGUUUCAGCUUUUCUCUACUGACACAGAACAUGUGCUCAACCUUAUACUUAUUACUAUGCUCCUUAUGACUCUAACUCGCCCUUCCGUGGAAUGCCGUCUAUUGUCGGCCUCAUGAAAUGACAAUAAUUUUAAUAAAUGGCUAUUAGGUUCUGUCCAUGUUGGUGGGACCGAGGUUUAUCGAGGUAUACAGCCGGCCAAGCCGGGUAGGACCGCUGAAUAUUAUAGAGGGUACUCGUUAGCCUUUCUCUCAUUUGGACUCUACGUUAACCUGCGGUACUAUAUCCCAGCCCUAUACUGGGCGUACUUGUACACCUAUUUCUACCUAAUCUGUUAGAGUAUGUUGUGGGCCACUUGAUCACGCAGCUUACCUCGAAGGUUUUAUUGCUGGUUAUGCUUUAGUACGUCCGACUAGGGGUAGAACUAACACUACUAGAUACUGGUAGAAUCUUGCUCUUAUUGGUUUUAAUGACGGUGGUGAUCGUUAUAUUGGUUUUUGGGUUCAACCCGGAUUUGAUCUCCCUGGGGGAGUUGGCAGCAGAAUCGUGGGCAGAAACAAUUCCAAGGAUUGGGAAACCAGAAAAUAGUUGAUGGUCCACAGACCCAACCCAUAAAUUAGUUAGUUAAAAGAAUGGCCGGCUACAAAUAUUGGUAAUCCUUGUUUGCUGACAAGUGCCCAGCAUACUUGCUAGUUUGUAGGAUCCUCAGAGACUGGUGCCAUAAAGUCCCCACGCGUCUCCAUCACCGCGCGUCUCCAUCGCACCCAGCUCCCCGGAGCUCCCCGUGGGUCCCCAUGGGUCCCCGGGACCGAUAUUAGCAAAUAUUAAUCGAUAUUCGUAGAUAUUAACAGAUAUUUAUGAUUAUUAAUUUAUAUUCAUGAUUUACAUUAAAUCUUUCUUUAUAUUGCAGAUUAUUCUAUUAAAUACUUGGCUUGUUAAUCUCUUUUAUAGCUGCAACUCUAAAUCUCUUCUUAUUAUUCUUUAUGGAUACCGGAGGUAUGAGCCUUAUAUAUUGGGCAUGAUCUCAGCUCAUGCCCAAUCCUUGGAAUUGUUUAUGGUCCUUGACCCUGCCUGCGAGCGUCAACCGCGGUUUGGUUGCCUGUUAAAAGUGGAAAACCAGCUUGCGAAUAAACGAUAAAUCCCCGCAAGUUAAUGGUCAGGACUUUAUUUUUCAGGAGCCUAUACCCAUAAAAGGGUAAGCAAGAUAAACCUGCAAAUCGAGAAAGCCAAGUAUAUAGAAAUAACAACACGAAUCAAAAUGCGCCUAGACUAACUAAUUAUUUUAAUCUUUCCGAAAUUGUCUUGAUGUUAAACCGUCUCUUAUAAUAUUAAAUGUUGGACGAAUCUUUUUAUAAAAUAUUCAAUUCAAUCUAAUACGAAACUAGCCGAAUUGAUGUAAAUUGAAGCUCCUUUUAAACACAAUUAUGAUAUAGCUUCUCUCCUCUCUAAACUCAUGUUGGGCAGAUAAAGAGCCUUUUAAUAUGUAACUAAUGGAUGAUCUUGAUGUGGGCUUUUAAGCCCCUACAGACAAAUGAAUAAGCUGCAUUGUUUUCUAGAUCCUUAUUUAUUUUAAGGAGCAACAUUCACUCGUAAAAUUGUAACAUGAAACUAUCCAACUUUUAUAUAGAGAGGAAUAUUUGUAAAUAAGCAGGUACGGAUCAUUUUAUAAUUUCUAGUUUUAUGCUAUUUUUGAUAGCUGUUUAUCCAUAAACUUUUUAUCACUUAAUUUUGGUAUGUUUAAAUUUAAUCUUUCGACAAUUCAAGUAAAUAGUACGCCCUAAGGCACACCACCAUGUAGUGAGGAGCCAGCAGGAUAUUUGGAAGAUAAUUAAUUAAUGACUUACUCUAUAUUUACCUCCUUAUUUAUGUUUCUGCUUCCUUUACCAAUUAAGUGAGAAAGUAAAACAGAGAGCUUAUUAACAAAAUGCUUUAUCACUAUAUACUUAAAUAUCACAUAACGACUAAACACAAACUCUAAAUUAAAGCCUAACUGAUUGCUUUGCUAACAAAUCUAAAAUUAUGGGCCGUCCGGUCAUGACGUUAAAAGGAGUCCGGUUUAUUACGAAACUAUCUAAUUUCCUCAGUACGUAAGUCCACAUUGGCAGAUACAGAUUAGAUUAUUGGUUGAUUCGCCCAUUACAUGUGAGUAAACUAAAUUGGUUUAUGCUCGCCCGCCUACGUACACUUGAGCUCGUUGUUAAGGACUAUAUUUACAUUAAUCUGGUACCCUAUUAGGUUUUGUUGGUAUUCCUAAACUACGCCGGCGGUCCUGCUAGCCUAACGGGGCUUAGCUAUUGGUCCUUGCAAGGGUAGGGCAAUUAGUCUCAUAAGUAGGAUUCAAGAGCACAUUCAAUAAAUAUAAUUAUGAUUAAAUCAUAAAUGGUAGAUCUCGGAUAGAUGGAAAACGAGUAAGGGUUAGCAAAGGAAAUCUUGUUAAUCUAGGAUGAUAAUACAUCUGGUGUGUUGGCUCCCCUUACAUUAAACAUUUUAGGGUAGCUUUAAGGUUGCAACGUAAUCAGCUUGUCUGUAGUACCGAGGAGGAUACAUUCAAUAAAAUUAGUUUUGGCGGUAUUGGGUCUAGGAUAUGGGCACCGAUGAUCUAGUAGCAGAUACCCCCACCAGACUAGUUUUUGAUCUUAAAAUUGAGUUAUGUGGUUGAAAGUCUGAUUUAUCAGUACCACUUGGCCCUUCCUUUGCUUUUUUAAACCGAUAUAAUAUUGUAAAUCCUGUUUCUAGCUUGAACACAAUAGUUCACAAGAUGUUCCAAUUAAUCUAGCUUCAGGGUAGGGUAGGUGAGCUCUAUAGGUAGUACAAACUAACAAUAAGUUCCUAAAAAGUAAACAAAUUAAUUGCUUUAUAGACAGCUCUGUAAAGAGAUUAUGUAUUAACUUCCAAACUAUGUUUGUUUGGUGGUUUAUCAAGGGGCGGAUGGUGAUAGAAUAUAUGACAGGUGCUGAAAAGUAGUAAGGGUUUUCAAUAAUAAGAAUAAUAAUAAUAUCCCCUCUGGUUACGCCUAUUGCGUCAGCUAGUGUAAAAGGAUUAGGUUGACAAGUAAAAGAUAUAGUUGAUCAGGUAGAACUUAAUCGAAUUAAUGCAUCAAAACUGAGUAAUAAUAGUAAAAGAGUUGACUCCUAGUGAAGAUAAGCCUAAUACCAAGACAUUCUCUACGGCAAUAGCGUAAGCUAGUAUCAAAUUAAGUCGAUAAAGUAGAUCAAAUUGAACUAAAGUAUCAUCGAACUAAUGCAUCAAAACUAAAUAACUACUAAUGCGUCCGUUACUAAUCUAAAGUAUUAACAUUAUUCAGACCUCUGUUGAACUAACCAUAAUAAGAACAAAAUAAAAUAGUAAAAGAGUUGACUUCUUCCUAGUGAAGAUAAGUCUAAUACGAAUACCCUCCCGUCUACCAUGCCUCUAUUACAUGCUUCCUUAUCUACAUGUUUUAGGUUAACUACGAUACAGUAUUACGACUGGUAACCACUAGAACAUCCAUCAAGACGUUAAACUGUAAACGGUUGAAUCGUUUGAACUUAGCCUGUGAAUUUUUCCAUUCUAUCUUUGGUUUAGGUUUCACCUGUUUUACUUCCCUUUGUUCUCCUACUUUAUUCUGCCAUGCCCAUUGCUUUUAGGUUGGCAUGACAUAUGAACACCAUCACAAAUUAUGUAACCAAGUACCCUUAAAAGUUUCAUCGGUUAAUACCUGCUGGCCCUCUAACUUAUAGUUAUUCCUAUUCUUGGUAACUAAAGGUACCCGGUAUUUUAUAGAGGGCACACCGUAAGGCGGGAUUACUGUACCGAAAAAUAUGUAACUAUGCGAGUAAGCGUUAUUGGUAAACAAGGCCAACGACUUUAGGUAGUCAGCUGGAGUUAAUAAUUUUAACCCUAACCUUUGGUUUGUUAAUCUUUACAAGCAGUAUUACCAUUCUUUCACAAAUCCGUAAUGUUGAUACCUCUACAAGGUAGUAAUCUUUCAGGUCAAGAUAGGUACACUAUGAUCGUACUGGUGUUGGAUUUUAUACAUUAUGGGCCCGCGGGGGUGCCUUAUAGCUCCUCUAUCGUUAGUAAGAGCGGUUCAUAUCACUACGUUUGUAUCGGUAACGCCUUCGUUAGCACUUAGUCUCUUUGCAGCCCAGCCGUGUUCAAAGGCAUAAAAGAACCAUAAUAUAACUAUAGAUGCUCUUAGAUAGUUAAAGUUUGUAGAUUGUAUAAAUAUUCUUACUCUACUUUUUUCGUCGUUUAUUAUAUGUUUAACUUCUCUUACUACUAUAUUACUCCUAUCUAAUUUUAUAAAUAGUUGUUCUAUCUAGUAAAUCAAACAAUGUUGCCUAAAAUUGAACAUACUGAGCACACUGUUAAAGCUAUUCGAGCUUGUUUAUAGCGGCGGUUUUCCAGAUUGUCCUUUAAAUCUCGGGUGUAGAAUAUUGUUUUUUAUCUAGAUUUAUCGUUCGACAUAUCGGCAAAUUGUAACUAUAUAUUUAAUGCAAAUUAGAUUUAAGGCUAGGCUACGCAUUAAGCAUAACGAGAGGGUAAAACAGGGGGUAUACUAAGGUUGCACUGUCAACUAAUCAAGACAAAAAAGGGUUACAGCCCAUAAACCCUGUCCAGACUGUGGUGCUAUGAUUCUACACUAGCCCCUCUUUAUCUAGAAAUAAAUAAAAUAUUUAAAUACUAAUUAAUUUAAUAAAAGAAUAAUCAAACUCGUUUCCUUUCUAGUUUUACAUACAUCCAGGAUCUACCCUUUAUGAUUAAUAGCUAGGGACUCAACCAGUAGGAAUAGUGGUAUAUUACAGAUCGACGUUAAACGAGGGAGGUGAGCUGAAUGUAGAAUGAGAAGUCUAGCUAAAAUAUCAUCGGAUUUUAAGGAUUAUGGGAGACUAAAUCCAACUAAACAUAAUACUAACAGCACAAUACGGUACCAUGAUACAGGGAUAAGCGACAGUCGUAAUUAGAAGAAUAUGGUUAAUUGUAGUAAAUAUUUCUUUUACAAUACUUAAGGUACUUACAGCACUUCCUAGUAUUAAAAGUUAGAUUAAAUUGGCAAGAUUAGGGCUCCCUUAGAUUAAAAUAUUUGUCCGUUGUAUUAGGAUUUAUCCGACCAGUAUGGUUUGAGAAAAUGUGAAAAAAUGUAGAUAAAUGUUAAAAAUCACAUAAUUCUUUUAUCUACCACCCUUCCCAUGUACAGGGUAUACCUUUUAUUCUACUUUAUUCCUCUUCAACCCUUAAUUCACCAUUCCUGCUAUUUACCAUCACCCUUUAAGCGCCCCCUGACGGUUUAGAUUUAUUCCACUUGGCUUACCUCUAAUUCACUUCCAUUGUAAACCACAGGGUAUAAGAAAUAGAGCCAGCUGUCACAUUAAAUAUAAAAUGCACUAACUAGGUCAACUGCUAUGGUAAAACAAAGGGGGCAUUAUUCAAAUUACAUUAUUUCUAUUUAUGCUUGUUUACUUCUAAUAUUUCUUAUCUGAGCUAGGCGGAUCAUUAGGUUCUUCCUUUAUCCUCCUUUAACCAAGUGGGCUGAUCAUAAAGCCCUAGGUUGCCUAUAAAUAACUUAAUAUUUAGAUUUUUCCUAAUUUACCAACUAGUAGCAUAUUACCAGUUAAUGUAAUAAGAUGGCUUCACCUCUAGUUAAGUAAAACACAAGUUAUGAUCAUGAUUUAUGCGGACCCUGAUAAUGUGGAUCUUUUGGUUUCCUGCUGAUCGAACCCGACUUGCCGGCGGAGCCGGCGGGCCCUAACGGCCCCUGUCGGGCCCAAUCCUUUAAACUGUUGCUCACCAUAUCUGAUGUAGCACGAGCUAGCACCAGGGGCUCUGAGGAGACCCCCAGCAUAUAGGAAGAUUAUUACGAGGGGUUGGUUUACCUUUACCAACCUUUCACGAAGUUAUUCAGAUUAUGUCAUCACCCCACCUGGUGCUCGGGUUGGCUGGCCCCACCUUUUGGGCUAUAAGGAGAUACCAGCAGAUAGUGAAGUUUUAGGGCUUUUUAUAUUAUCCUACCUUUUACUUUAUUGCUCAGACUAUAUUAUCACACCGGGUACGGGUGUGUUGGCUAGCACCUCGGUCUAUAAGGAAAGUCCAGCAGAUAUCAUUAUUUUGUCUUGGGUUUUAAUCUUUACCAACCUAUUAGUUUAUUGCUCAUACUAUAUCUACACCCUACGUGGGUGCGGAGGCUCGUGCUGGCCCUGCAUGCAAGGUAAGGGUAGAGGAAGAACGAGCUCUAGGACUAAGUUCUUUAAUUUACGGCCUAGUUUCUAACAGUUUAUACUACUAGUUCACAGCCUUUAAUGAUUUUAUUAUAGCGGUUACAAAUGAUUGAUUGCCAAGGUUGGACUAAAUUUUCAUCUUCAUCAAGUUUGACAGGUUGUUUAAUCUACGGGCUAGUUUCUAACAAUUUGUUCUACUUACAGCCUCCCAUGAUUAAGUAGUAGCUGCUAGGAAGCUGGUAAUAUUUUAUUUACAAAAGAUCGCCAAAGUAGGUAGGACUCACUCUAUUUUUUCAUAAUUUAGGUCUAGUUUAUAACAGUUUAUUCUACUUAUUUAUUGCCUCUACUGAUUAGUUAGUUGCUAGUACGCAGCUUAUAUUUUAUUGAUUUCAUUUUCAGGAACACCCAAAAAUGAUCUAUUUAUUCUCCUGAACCCGACUGCCGUCGGGCCCUCUAAUUUGUUUGAUUCUCGGUUUAGUUCAUAGUUAAUUGUACUUGUUUACAGCCCUAAGGCUUAGAUUCAUGAUUAGUAGUACACAGGUUUUAAGGGUUACCCGCUAGUGGGCGGAAUAUAUCUUCCCCUUGCCUCUAUGUAAUAGCUGGUGAAUUUGACAAUUAUUAUGGUUGAAUUACAAGGCUCAUCUUUAAUUAAUAUUGUUUAUCUUAUUAUUUAGUAAGGAGCUAUCUAUUUACGAAGUAUGUAGCUUUAACGUGAAGUUAAGUAUUUAAGUUAUACCACCUUCAGCAUUAGUGGUUAAAUAUUUACAGUUUCCGACUUUAAGGAGUUACGAGCCAGGUAAUUAGUGUGGUUGUUUUGCAAGGCUAAUAUUGAAUGAAUUCUUGUUUUACCUGUACAGUAAGAAGUUAUCUUUUAUUGAUGGUUGGUUUUAGUUGAGCGAGCCAACUAUGAGCGUAUAAUUAGAAUUGAGUUUGGUGUUACGAUUUACAAGAUGAUGAUAGCUGCUUCCAAUUUCGUCAUGAUUAUUGAUAGCUAGGGCAUCCCUUCGUACUUGAAUCAGUUCCUAGGAUUCUUCUCUUAACUUCCUAUAUAGUUAGUUUAGUAUUUAUUAUUAUAACUUAUUUAAUUUCCUACCUUCUCUGUGGAGGGCUGCAUUCUUCUUCCUUCCCUUACAGUUCUUCAAGCCAUGUUAAAUGCUGCUGGUUGGUUCUCCGUCUACACUGUGUUAUGAUCAUGGUGGAUCUGCUUCUUAUUAAAUUGAACUAGGCUUCACUUACUCUCAUCCCCCCCCCCCCUUGUAGGGUCAACCUACGGCCCGUGGGGGGGGGCCAGGGGUCACUAGCACCACGGGGUAGGGGGAGGUAGGGUAAGACACAAUCCUUCCAGAUUGAUAAUGGUUCAUUACAGAUGGAUGAAAUACCAGGAAGGGACGACAAGGAUAAUCCUCGGGUUGCUACACCCAGGUGGUGAGACUCCUCCUAAAAUCAGUAGCAAGUUAUGCCUCGAGUGGUGUAUAACUACUCAUUAGCCUCAUGAGCCUCUAUUGUGAGGCCUCCCUGGCCCGUGGCCCAUUUGGGGGUGUCGGCUAAUGCCGACAGGGCCCGUCGGCUUAACCGACAAGGGGGGGCGUAUUUUUUUGGUGUGUUGAUUUUUGAUGGGUAGGAAUUUCAUUUCAAAUCAUGUCAUCAAGCAUUUUAUGUUUUUAUGUUAUUGGUGUAGUUGGUUUAUUUUCAGCAUAGGUUGUUGCCUCUUCAUUAAAUCCUAUACAUAGAAUAGCAUUUUAGAUCUAGGUGUUUCUAAGUGGUUCAUUUUUAAUGAUAAUAUUAGAUUUUUAUUUUUUAGGUUUAACUUAUAUUAUUGUUUAUGUGGGUGAUCUGGAUUGCCCCACAUGGUAUUGUAGUCUUAUUCCCUUCAGUGCACCUAAAACAAGAGGAAGCAAAAGAAUAGGUCCUCAUAAUAUAGAUAUUUUAUCAAUUAUAUUUGGUUCAAUGUUAGGAGAUAGUUGGGGUGGGCGCAGUAGCGCUAGUACAUAUUUUGUGCUUCAACAAGAAGAUAGUAACGUUGGUUAUUUGAUGUGGUUCCAUAAAUAGUUAGUAUCUUAGGGUUAUAGUGCUCCAGGUAGACCAAAAAUGGAGAAGAGAGUAGGAAAAGGAGGUAUAAUUCGUUUUUAUUAUCGUGUUCGUACUUUCUGUUUUUCAAGCUUCAAUUGGAUUCAUCUAUUAUUUUAUCCUAAUGGUGUAAAAGUAGUUCCUGCAAACAUUGCGGAAUAUUUAACACCUCUCGCUUUAGCUCUAUGGAUAAUGGAUGAUGGUCUUCGUAUGUCUUCAGGGUUAAGUAUAGCUACUCAUGGGUUUAGUAAAGCUGAUGUGGAAAUUUUAAGUAAAGUGCUUUGGGUUAAAUAUGGCCUUAAAACUACAUUACAUCGAUUUAAACCAGACUUGGAUCAAUAUACUUUAUAUAUUAGCGCUAGAUCUAUGCCUUUAUUAGUUACUAUCAUUCGCCCACACCUGCAUCCUUCUAUGUAUUAUAAAUAGGGCAGAUAUCUUUAAUUGUUUAGGUUAGCCAAUCCGGAGGGCAUUAGAGUACCUUACCAUAGUCUAGGUGAUUUAAAUGUGCAACUAGUAUUGGGAAACAUUUUAGAAUUGAUCAUCUAGGCGAUACAAGUGUUAACGGUCAACAAUAUUUAUAUUUAGACCGUCGGUGGAGUACUUCAUCGCUACAGACUGGUUCACUUGUGGGUGCCUGAAAUGGUGCUUAAUGUACAGUCGGAACUCCAAAUGGUUACUACAAUAACUAUUUCCAAGGACUUUCGUAAAUUAUGCUAAGGAGACCCCAAAAGGGUUUGCGGAAUAAUUAAAGUUACAGCCAAAUGUUUAGAAUUUAGAUUCUUUUAUUAUAACUUUGGGGAGUUUGGCAAUUAUGAUUUUAUUCUUAUUUGUUAUUAUGAUGGUACAAAUUCAUCUAAUGCCAGUUACAACAUCAAUUGCUCCCCGCAUUUUGGAUGGAGAUACAUCUGCUCGUCCUUCAGAUUUAGCUUUAACUUGUGGACUUAAUCAAUUUGCAGGUGUGGAUCACCGAUCCAUACCAACCGCUCUUGGAACGAUUGGUUCUCCACUUAACCGUAGUGGUGCAUCUACAGGUUAGUCACCAAGUAUGUUAAGUUUAGGUGCUACCUCCAGCCAUGACCCUGUAGGGGAUCAUACAACUCCACGUUCAUUGAUUAUUAGUUCCCGUAAAGGUGUGCAUACUCCCUUUUUAUCUUUUUAGAUACUAUAGAUGCCUUUAUAGUCUUAGUAUUUAUAUACCUUAAUUAAUCCACGUACCAUUGGAUAUGGUGGAGGGAAUAUGAUUGUUAAUUAUUUUUUCCCAUCUUGGUUUAUUGAAUUUAAAACAAUGACGGAUCUUGAAACUCUAGCCAAUAUUCUCUAUUAGGGAUAUCCUUCUGCUUUAAUUUUAAUUGGUGUAGCUUUAUGGGCUGUUCUAAUUGGUAUUAUUAAAGUUACAGCUUCUAAAGUUUGAUAACUUUCUGAUGGGUACGCCUUAAGCCUCGCAAGCGACCCGGCCCUCGGGCUCGGUGGA
This 10320-nucleotide ribosomal RNA is filed under the name Powellomyces hirtus. RNAcentral's name for it is "large subunit ribosomal RNA". Lineage: Eukaryota; Fungi; Chytridiomycota; Chytridiomycetes; Spizellomycetales; Powellomycetaceae. The record is from RNAcentral.